RNAcentral lists this long non-coding RNA (811 nucleotides) under Populus tremula. RNAcentral's name for it is "long non-coding RNA (PTRE_LNC000545)". The record is from RNAcentral. Lineage: Eukaryota; Viridiplantae; Streptophyta; Magnoliopsida; Malpighiales; Salicaceae.
CGUGACUGUCUUGAGUCUUCGCCUCUUCAGUCUUCGCUUCGGUCUUCAGAUUAACAAAUCAAAACGCACAAAGCCACAAAUACAGAACAAUUAAGCUUUCUUUUGUCCUCGCAGUUACAACUUGUUUUCUACUAAUGGCUUCUAAUUGAGAGCAUGAUCUUCUGGGACCCUAAGCCCAAAUCGUGAUUUUAAGCAAUUAUGCAGAACCAUGUUUGAGGAUCUCUUCUUCAAGUCAUCAAACCAAGCAGCAACAGCAGGUACAUAUUCUCAAGCUUCUUUCUUCGCUUUUCCUUUUACUUCUCCAGGUUCACUGCUUUAUACCCUAGUUUUCUGGCUUGAUCUUCAUUUUAGCUUUCAUCUUAUUCAGAUUUCAACAUGUUCGAUAAAAUGCCUCAACCAAACUUUACCCUAUUUUCUGUUUAUUUUCAGCACUUGAGAGAAGUUUUUGUACUCUUUAUAUUCUUGGAGAAUCACUAAUAUCGAAUGUUGCUUAACCUCUGUGCAAUUUGUUUGUGGGGAAACUCUCUAUCAAUUGUUGAAGCACCAACAGUAAGAAUCCAUGGAGCAAUAUUAACAGCAGUGUAUGGACCUGGACCUGGUCCUGCAUUCCCAGCAGAGCAAGACACGACAACUCCAUGUUGUGAUGCACUGAAAGCCCCAAUCGCAAUCGAAUCAUGAUUAUAUUGAGGAGCAUGACCAGUAGCACCAACAGAUAAAGAAAUCACAUGGACUCCAUCAUAGAUAGCCUGAUCCAUCGCAGCAAGAAUAUCAGAGUCAUAACAACCUGAACUCCAACAAAUCUUGUAAGCAG